GACGAACCGUGCGAACGUUGUUCGGAUUCACUGGGCUUAAAGGGCGCGUAGGCGGCUUGCCAAGUCAGGGGUGAAAUCUUUCGGCUUAACCGGAAAAGUGCUUCUGAUACUGGCGAGCUGGAGGGAGGUAGGGGCAGAUGGAACUUCCGGUGGAGCGGUGAAAUGCGUAGAUAUCGGAAGGAACGCCGGUGGCGAAAGCGAUCUGCUGGACCUCUUCUGACGCUGAGGCGCGAAAGCCAGGGGAGCAAACGGG
RNAcentral lists this ribosomal RNA (253 nucleotides) under uncultured bacterium. RNAcentral's name for it is "partial 16S ribosomal RNA". It matches the Rfam family "Bacterial small subunit ribosomal RNA", at positions 524 to 776 of the family's 1533-position model. The record is from RNAcentral.